Molecule: ribosomal RNA, 253 nt
Filed under: uncultured bacterium
Lineage: Bacteria
Description: partial 16S ribosomal RNA
Rfam family: Bacterial small subunit ribosomal RNA
Source: RNAcentral
UACGUAGGUGGCAAGCGUUGUCCGGAUUUACUGGGCGUAAAGAGCGCGCAGGCGGUCGUUCAAGUCGCGUGUGAAAGCCCCCGGCUCAACUGGGGAGGGUCACGCGAUACUGAUCGACUCGAAGGCAGGAGAGGGACGUGGAAUUCCCGGUGUAGUGGUGAAAUGCGUAGAUAUCGGGAGGAACACCAGUGGCGAAGGCGACUUCCUGGCCUGUUCUUGACGCUGAGGCGCGAAAGCUAGGGGAGCAAACGGG